RNAcentral lists this long non-coding RNA (4126 nucleotides) under Lupinus angustifolius (narrow-leaved blue lupine). RNAcentral's name for it is "long non-coding RNA (LANG_LNC000616)". Lineage: Eukaryota; Viridiplantae; Streptophyta; Magnoliopsida; Fabales; Fabaceae. The record is from RNAcentral.
GCUUCCAACCUCAGCUUUGAUGAACAGUGCACACAUUGUGAGAAGGUGAUACUAUUUGUUUUCAGAUUUGAAUGUGGAAUGGAAUAUAUUCCCAUUUGGUUUCAAAACUUCAAAAAUACAAAUAGUAUGAAGUUUGAACUGUUGAAGCCUUAUCUGCAGUUUCUACUAAUCUGGUUUGGGUGAAUAUAACUUUUUGAUGUACUCUUUUGAUUUUGCAUGUUGAUCAUCCCUCACUUCAAUUCUGAGUUUUUCUUGCUAAUAGCCCAAAAAUGUUCGAAUUUAGAAUGGCAUUUCAAAGGCAUAUGUUAAUUCCUAUAUUUGAUUCCAAAGCUUCAAGGGAAUAAAAUCAGCCAAGAUUAGUGCACUGGUGGAUGUCAUGAUUUCUUUGAAACAAAUCCCCCUCCUAUUUCCCUUUCUAACAGUCCUUACUCCUUAGCCAGGUCCGAAUUCAAACACCUAUCAUCAAAUGUUGCUCAUAGAUUUUCAUUCCUGCAAGAUUGGACAAUCCAGGUGGGUCAUUCUUGUACGUCAGGGGUAUGUUAACUAUGAAAGUCCAUGUCCCUUGAGUAUGAGUCACGAGGCAUUUAUAAUAACUUGGGCGUUCCCUCUCCCUAUGAGAUAACUUUUGGGGUGGAGUUGAGUCAACUAAUCUUAAUAGCCCUUACGAAACUGGGAUCUCUGUUCCUUCAAACAAAAUGAGUAUUUUUGUUAAUUAUCUCUUCUUGUGGUUUGCAUUGAAUGUCUCCAUUACCUUAAUCUUCUGUUUCAUAUUAAUUCAUAUAUUUCAACUAGUUGGAGUCAUGCGAAUGUUAAUCAAUGCUGAAGUUAGUAUGUUGAUUACUUUCAAGCUUUAAUGUUUGUGCUUUUUGUACAGGAAUCAAUUAACAAUUCCUUAUCAAACCUACUUACUUACCCCUGGAUAGAAGAAAAGGUGGCAAAGGAAGAACUUUUUGUUCAUGGUGGUUACUACAAUUUUAUAGACUGUUCAUUUGAGAAAUGGACACUGGAUUACAGAGGAACCAAAUUGGAGGAAAACGGCAGAAUUGCGGUCAAAAACAAAGUUUUUUGGUCCUGAGUUUUACUUCUAAUUUCCUGUAUGAUGUAUUGCAUUACUUUUCUUAAAUUUAUUCUAGCAGUAGCAGGACUUCUUUUUUGGUAUGAACCAUCUGGUAUCCAUAUACACAAGAGUGUCUACUAAUCCGGAUUCUCAGGGGCUUGAACUCGAAAAUUCUAGUUAAGAAUUUAUGCUAGUUAAAAGCAUAGGUUUAAUUAUGUACUUAUGUACACCAUAAAGAUUAUAAUAAUUCAAUUGAUUGCCAUUUCAUGUGUCUGUUAACUGUGUUUUCCGAGUUACAUCAUAAUCUGCAGUUCUGCACUGUGUUUAUGUGAUUCCCUCUUUUCAAAUAUUGUCCAAAUUUCUUCAUCUCAUAAAUUCAAAGCUUAAUCAAUAUGACAUAGUUCAUUUCCCACCAUCACAACUGGCAUAGUUCAUAAUCACUCAGAAGUUCCUCAAAAUUUCUAUCUCUGCAACAAAUUCAUUGCCAAAUUUCUUCUGAUAGAGUAAGUCUAGUCUCACAAGGUGCUGUGAGUGAUGCUAUUUUCACUCUUCUUCUUCGUCUUCUUCUUCUUCUUCACAUCUCAUUUUAUAUCUAAUUUAUAAUGAUUGAUUACCUACACAUUAUUGUUGCUAAAGCAAAAGUUUUAUCCUGGAUGGUAAUAAACUAGGUGUAAUAUAUGAUAGACAUUUACCUAUCACAGGCAAGGCCCUUCUUAUGACAGAGUAAGGAAAGUAGGAAACAUUAAACUCUUCCUUAAAUUUCUCUCACUUGGACAAGUUUUGAUUCCAUCUGUUUCUCAUUCUUUGCUUUGCUGUUCUUAUAUUCCAACAACACAAGUUUUACAAUCUUGUGCUUCAUGUAUAAACUAACAAGAAAUUUCUUAUCUUUUUAGUGACUGAAUUUUAUGAGUAGAGCUGUUCCAUUCUAUUGCCAGCUAUAUGAUUCUUCAAUAAUACACAUAUAUGCAGUAUGCACAUUAGCAUGUGUGGGAUUUGAUAAGUAUAUAUUUGCAUGUUGGACACAAUAAUAGAUACACAUAAUUCACAUUUUAGUUGGGUUAUCUAGCAGUGAAAGGAUUUCACCAUGUACUUAAGCCAACACUGAUAUAUGAAUUAUGAAAAGUAGGCAAAUUUGAAAGAAGAAAAACCAGUUUAUAAAUUUGUAAUGAUAGGUAUUUAUGACAAGAUAGAUAUACAGAUUAUUAUAAAAGUUUCAUUAUUCGAAAACUUUUUCUGUUGAUAAAUGAAUAUUAAUCCUCUCUCUUACUUUUUAUCAUUUUUCCGAAUAAGCCAAUUGGACCAUGUUGGUCCACUCUUUUUCCUAUUCAAAGAUCAGGUUUUAGAUUAUGUUUUCACAUCAAAAUUAUUUGGAGAUGAAAAGAUUUGAAUGAGGCUUUUUACUUUCCAAAUUGACCUUUAUAUAUAUAUAUAUAUAUAUAUAUAAAGACUGGUUUAUCAAAAAAGAUGAUUUAAUGUACGAGGUUCCUUACUAGUGAGGUCCACGAGGGUAGUUGUACACAAAUAUUCUUUCGCAUAUAAAAAACUGUAUCCGAUAUUUGAACUCAUGAUCUCCAAUUUAAAAGGAAAACAACAUUACCUUUUCGCCUAGACUCACCCUCAAUCUUUUUAUAUUAUAUUUAUGUUUAUGCAAGAAAUUGAAGUAAAUAUAGUUGGAGUGUUGUAACAAUUACUUAUCCUCAAUACCUCUCCAUGAGUCACACGAUUCACUAGCUACCUUGUCUAUAUAAAGGACUCACAUAACAUCUCAAAAUAAAGCAAAACCAUUUGCAUAAACUAGUCCUUAGUUCAGAAUCUCUUGUGAUCAUGGCUUCUUUCAGUUUCUCACCAUUCAUUAUAGCUCUUCUGCUUCUAACAUUUUCAUCAAUGAAAGCAGAGGCACGUCACUUACUACAAUCACUGCCAGUGCCACUGCCAUCACUUCCAGUACCAGUUCCAUCACUUCCAGUGCCAGUUCCAUCACUUCCAUUUCCAUUUCCAGUGCCAGUAUCAGUGCCAAGACUGCCUUUGGUUCCAAUUCCACCACUUCCUAAUGUUCCAAUUCCACCACUUCCUAAUGUUCCAGUACCUGGUGUACCAAUCCCUCAAGUUCCACAGGUUAGUGAGGUUGAGUUGCCACAGUUACCACAAGUUCCUAAGGUUGUGCCUGCAAUACCAAAGAUACCUUCAGUAGUUCCAGUUCCUGAGUUACCUAUUCCUUAAACUACUAUAUAUAUAUAUAUAUAUAUAUACUUUGGUCUAGUAACUUGUUAUGUUUGAUUAUUGUAUUGUUUAUAUUUUGUUGUUGCUAUCUCAGGGUUGCUCUAUUAAAUUAUGUUAUCUUCAGUUUUUAUGAUGUUCAUUGUGAUAUGUAAUGUAUUAGAGUUUCAUUCUUGCAGUUCAAUGUAAUCUUCAAUUUCUGUAUAUUGUGAUCAUGGAUGCAAAAUUUCUUCCAGUAUAGUCAAAUUCAGUGUGUGUACAAGUAGUGAUGUUACAACAGAGUGAGACAAAUGAUCUAAGACACAUAUGAGUAGAACAACGUCGUCAUAAUGUUCUAUCAUAUUUAUUAGCGCAUUGAUCUUAUACAACAUGAUACAUUAUAAAGAAAUAUAAAAACAUCGAUAACAUAAUACUUAAAUCAUAAAAUAAAUAAAAAAAAUCAUAACUUUCUAACUUCUAACAUUUUUACAAAACUCUGAAGUAUCUCAUUUAAAUAAAAUUAGCUAAUAGUUUGUUUAUGUAAUAACAAACCAAACAUCUUAACAGCAAAAUUUGUAAAAUGAGUAAGGUUGAAUUCACCCUUGAUCUGAUAAAGUGUAUAAAGAUCUGAACUCAUCACAAUGAUAAAAGAUAAAUUCACUCUUACUUGUUCAUUUUAUAAACAAUUUCACUUCAGAGAAGUUAGUUUGAUUCUUGAAUGAAAUAGGAUACUAAGUCACAUGUAGAUAAUAUUGUAUUGGAUAUGUAUCUAGAUGAAUGGAAACCAUUUUAGAGUACUUAGGAUAUGUAAUAGUUAUAGACUUGUAGGAUUCAUUCAUUAUCUAUAAGCCAUGCAGGAAUUAUCUAGUAUAC